AUUGAACGCUGGCGGCAGGCCUAACACAUGCAAGUCGAGCGGAUGAAGGGAGCUUGCUCCUGGAUUCAGCGGCGGACGGGUGAGUAAUGCCUAGGAAUCUGCCUGGUAGUGGGGGAUAACGUCCGGAAACGGGCGCUAAUACCGCAUACGUCCUGAGGGAGAAAGUGGUGGAUCUUCGGACCUCACGCUAUCAGAUGAGCCUAGGUCGGAUUAGCUAGUUGGUUGGGUAAAGGCCUACCAAGGCGACGAUCCGUAACUGGUCUGAGAGGAUGAUCAGUCACACUGGAACUGAGACACGGUCCAGACUCCUACGGGAGGCAGCAGUGGGGAAUAUUGGACAAUGGGCGAAAGCCUGAUCCAGCCAUGCCGCGUGUGUGAAGAAGGUCUUCGGAUUGUAAAGCACUUUAAGUUGGGAGGAAGGGCAGUAAGUUAAUACCUGGCUGUUUUGACGUUACCAACAGAAUAAGCACCGGCUAACUUCGUG
Molecule: ribosomal RNA, 484 nt
Filed under: uncultured bacterium
Lineage: Bacteria
Description: partial 16S ribosomal RNA
Rfam family: Bacterial small subunit ribosomal RNA
Source: RNAcentral